This 254-nucleotide non-coding RNA is filed under the name Planctomycetota bacterium. Its description in RNAcentral is "Planctomycetes bacterium contains 16S-23S intergenic spacer region". It matches the Rfam family "Bacterial small subunit ribosomal RNA", at positions 524 to 776 of the family's 1533-position model. The record is from RNAcentral. RNAcentral also lists the same sequence under 2 other names. Lineage: Bacteria; Pseudomonadati; Planctomycetota.
GACGAAGGUGGCGACCGUUGUUCGGAAUCACUGGGCAUAAAGAGCACGUAGGCGGAGGCUGUAAGUCGGGUGUGAAAUCCCUCGGCCCAACCGAGGAACUGCGCCCGAAACUGCGUCUCUUGAGGGUGGGAGGGGAACGUGGAAUUCCUGGUGGAGCGGUGAAAUGCGUUGAUAUCAGGAGGAACACCGGCGGCGAAGGCGACGUUCUGGCCCACUUCUGACGCUGAGGUGCGAAAGCUAGGGGAGCAAACGGG